This 826-nucleotide ribosomal RNA is filed under the name uncultured Pseudomonadota bacterium. RNAcentral describes it as "bacterial SSU rRNA". It matches the Rfam family "Bacterial small subunit ribosomal RNA", at positions 64 to 866 of the family's 1533-position model. Lineage: Bacteria; Pseudomonadati; Pseudomonadota. The record is from RNAcentral.
GAACGAGGCCACUCCUUCGGGAGUGAGUCGAGUGGCGGACGGGUGAGUAACACGUGAGCAAUCUACCCUUGUGCGGGGGAUAACCCGGGGAAACCCGGGCUAAUACCGCAUGGUUAAGAGAUUCGAAGAGUCUUUUAGGAAACGUGGCCUCUUUACAAUGCUACGGCGCAGGGAGGAGCUCGCGGGCUAUCAGCUAGUUGGUGAGGUAACGGCUCACCAAGGCUUCGACGGCUACGGGGUCUGAGAGGACGACCCCGCACAUUGGAACUGAGACACGGUCCAGACUCCUACGGGAGGCAGCAGUGGGGAAUAUUGGGCAAUGGCCGAAAGGCUGACCCAGCGACGCCGCGUGUGGGAGGAAGCCCUUCGGGGUGUAAACCACUGUCAGAGGGGACGAAUGAAUCGCGGGUGAAUAAUCCGCGGAAGUGACGGUACCCUCAAAGGAAGCACCGGCUAACUCUGUGCCAGCAGCCGCGGUAAUACAGAGGGUGCAAGCGUUGUUCGGAAUUACUGGGCGUAAAGCGCGCGCAGGCGGAUCCUGCAAGUCCGAAGUGAAAUCUCACUGCUCAACGGUGAGGCUGCUUUGGAUACUGCGGAUCUGGAGACCGGUAGAGGCUGGUAGAAUUGCAGGUGUAGCGGUGGAAUGCGUAGAGAUCUGCAAGAAUACCCGUGGCGAAGGCGGCCAGCUGGGCCGGUUCUGACGCUGAGGCGCGAAAGCGUGGGGAGCAAACAGGAUUAGAUACCCUGGUAGUCCACGCCGUAAACGAUGGGCACUAGGUGCUGGGGGGGAGCGACCCCGUCAGUGCCGCAGCUAACGCGAUAAGUG